Molecule: ribosomal RNA, 253 nt
Filed under: uncultured bacterium
Lineage: Bacteria
Description: partial 16S ribosomal RNA
Rfam family: Bacterial small subunit ribosomal RNA
Source: RNAcentral
UACGUAGGGUGCGAGCGUUGUCCGGAUUUAUUGGGCGUAAAGAGCUCGUAGGCGGUUUGUCGCGUCGGCCGUGAAAUCUCCACGCUUAACGUGGAGCGUGCGGUCGAUACGGGCAGACUUGAGUUCGGUAGGGGAGACUGGAAUUCCUGGUGUAGCGGUGAAAUGCGCAGAUAUCAGGAGGAACACCGGUGGCGAAGGCGGGUCUCUGGGCCGAUACUGACACUGAGGCGCGAAAGCGUGGGGAGCGAACAGG